This is a long non-coding RNA of Aquila chrysaetos chrysaetos, 4329 nucleotides long. The record is from Ensembl. NCBI's taxonomy places the organism in Eukaryota, Metazoa, Chordata, Aves, Accipitriformes, Accipitridae.
AUGGCGUGGGUGCUGCCGAGGUCCCGGGGUGCUCGGUCCCGGGGUGCUCGGUCCCGGGGUGCUCGGUCCCGGGGUGCUCGGCGUCUCCCUCGCCGGGGCGAAGCGGCGCUGCGACCGGAGUGUUUUGCAGAACGCGGACGGGAAGCUGACGCUGCAGGAGUUUCAGGAGGGCUCCAAGGCCGACCCCUCCAUCGUGCAGGCGCUCUCCCUCUACGACGGGCUCGUAUAGUCCCGGGGCCGAGCGGCGAUGCCUGGGGGAAGACGCUCUCCGUGCCAUCCGACCACCGCCGCGCGAAGCUUGCCUGUCCCUCUCGGCCUUCCUUUCUGUUCUGCAAGCAAAGGAUGCCCUCGAAGCGCGAGCUCACUCCCCCUCUCUGCACUCUGAACCAGCCGCUGCCAUUUGCCAACUUCUGCUUUUUCCAAAAAAAAAAAAAAAAACCCGCGACAGACUCCGGUCUGAGCGGCAGCGAACGCCCAAGACUUCAGGGCCGGGGGAACGGGUCGAGCAUCGCCGAAGGCAGAACCACCCCCGGCCUCCUCGCCCUCUUUGCUCCCCUUUCCAACAUUUUCGGAUGGGACUGCGGAUGCGCCGGUGCCGGCGUGGUCCUCUCCCAGGAACCGGCCGGCUGGAGACGGAGCCCAAAGGACGUGGGAGGUUUUGCUGUAAACCGAGAGCACGGCCCUAAACUCGUGCUCCUGCCUCGGGGGAGGCGGAGGGCUGGGGAAACGCACCUGGAAACACCCGAGCGUGGGGCUUGGAAAUGGCCCCCCGGCCGCGAGCGGUGCCCGCACGGCCUCUCCAUCGCUGGCCACCGCACCGGGAUGUGCCCAAGCAGGGCUCAGCCCCGCCGGGACACGCGUCGUGGGACACCGGUGGCAUCUCUGCUGGAGGACGAGCGUUAGGUGGAUGCUGCCGCGGCUCCGUUUCCAGCUGCCUUGGCCCCCGCCCUGGGGAAGGAGAGAUUUGCCCUUCCUUGGGAGCAAAAUGCAGGAUACCCAUGGGACCCCUAAUGCCAGCCGGGGUGCAAACCCCUCCUGCUCUGGUGCGGUUUGUUCCUGGCCCAGUAACACCGAUGCUGCUCUCCCGCCGCCCUGGGGGUCACCCCUCCGUCCCCGGUACGGCUGACACGGCAAAACCUUUCCGCCCCGCUCUCCACCGGGAUGCCUGCAGCUCCCGCGGCCGAGCCCUGCCAGUCCCCACAGCCCUCGGCCACGGGGACCAUCCCCGUGGCAGCAAGAGGGGAUGGCUGGACGUGGAGGACGUUCUCGCAGGUGUCCCGCGAUGCAGGAGAAAAGACGGUGCGCCAGCGGAGUCUGAAUCGUCCCCGCGCGCCAGGGACGGACUCUCCAGCCGAGCGAUGCCGGUCCUUUGCUGUACAGCCCUGCUCCCCAGUUCUGGGGCCGCGCGCUGGUGGCACUUUCCAAUACCCAUAAAAAACCACCCUUCCCCAUCCCCAAGGAGACCGGCCUCACGUCCACGUGCAAUAUUUCUGCCUCUUCUGCAGUUCCUGCCCCUGAGGGUGCCCAUGGUUCAUCGCUGAGGGCUCCUGGAGGGUGUCACCUCGCUCCCUCCCGUGGAAAAUUCUUUUCCUUGACGCUUUGUGGCCAAAACGCAACUCUCUUGGGUAGACCUUUGCAGUGCCUCCAACUUCUCUAGCGCUCGUCUGCCAGACCGGUCUCUUCCCGGUGCCAAUUGAUGUUCCCAAUGAAUGUGACACUGCUGUAAUCGCCUCCGCUGAUAAAUGAUGGACCCUGCGAUGUUUGACAUAAUUCCCAGGCAAAGGCAAACUUCACUUGCUCUGACACUUUCCCCUGAAAGGCUUUUAAUUUUCAGAGGACCUGCCAUGCUUUGAGCUCCAUCAGUGCUCGCCGACAUCUCACCAGGGAGGCAGCCCUGCAAGGGCAGCGGGGUGUGCGGCCCCCAUCGCGGGUGGGGUGAGGGACCAGCAUUGGCUUGGGAGAGCUUCAGACCCCAGAAAUCCCCAAAUUCAGUGUCCGGUGCUGCUGUCAUCACCAGCAACCUCCUGCUGCCGCUGAUGCUGGUGGGCUCAGGGAUGGAGCCCGACGCCUCAUCCUCCCUCACCCCUUGUUAAACAUUUGCACAUUAAAAAAAAGAAAAAGGAGCAAAAAGGAGAAAAGGUUUUAGCCUGUAUUCAAAAGCUCUGUGCUGCCUGACGAGGACCCUGUCGGUUUGGUGGCGACGGUGGGUUUUCCGGGGCAGACGCCCCUCCUGCAGGGUCAGGGCUGGCUCUUGUCCUCAGUCCUGGCUCUGGCCGCGGAGCGGGUCCCAGCGUGGGGUCCGUCCUGUCCCACUCUUGGCAUGCUGAGCGUCCCCGAGCAAAUCAUUUUGGCCCCAGUAUUCCCCCCCCCCCGACUGCAGAUUUGGGACCCUGGUUUGGAUGCUUCUAGCCUCCCUUUGGGGAGCACCGAGGGCCCCCGACUCCUGAACGUCACCAGGGUCUGCAGCUUCUUGGUACUGCUGAAAAUAAGGCUUGAAGCAUCUCGCCCUUGGAAAUGUUGGCCUUAACCUCCUCGUGCCUCAGUUUCCCCAUCAGUGAAAUGGCCUGGGUGAGCCAUCCCCUCUCCAGAGAGCGAUUCGACGCCUGUGCCCAGGGGAGCACGAGCGCUGGAUACAGCUCACGGCUGCGACCACGAGGGUUUGGCAGGACCCACCGAACAUCAGGCACGUGCGGAGCACCGGGAGCGGUGCGUGAACCGCUGGGUCGGAGUUUACAUCAGCGAAUAAUUAAUUCCGGUCUUCUUUUUACACCUGCUCAUUAUUAAAAGCGAACAGCUGACAAGACCUGAUUUGUUUCUCUUUAUACUCGGGUUCCUGAUGCCUGUCUGAAAUAAAGCCGGCUGCAGCCCUGGCGAUGGGAAGGGGACCCAAAGCGCAGCCAGGCAGAGGCGAGGGUCCGGCCCCGGCGACUGCGGCGUGUUCCCCCCCACCUCUCAUUUGUCCCCGUCGGUGUUAGCCCAUUAAAAUGCCGUGUCUGUACUUUCCUUUCUUUUCAUUUUUCUGUUUGUGUGCUGACUGUUGCUGCUUUGUAACCGUCUUUCCUUGAGCUCUGGGGCUGGGCUGGGCUGAGCUGUUUCCCCUGGAGAGCAAGGACGCGGGAGAAGGCUCUGGGGGCAGAUUCCCCCCCCGCCAUCACGGCACAAACCAGGACCCAAGAGAGAGAGAAGCAAAGUGGAUUUUUUCUCCGGAGCAGCCCUUUAAUUGCUGCGAUUCGUAACGAGACUGGGCAGCCCCCGGGAGCGCUCCCCGCCGGCUUUGUGGCUGGGGGUGUUUGCUUAUGGGGGACCCCAGACCCCGUUUGUGCCGGGUACCAGCUGCAUCUCACCCCACGGUGCAGAAGCGUGUGCCUGUCGGUGCCUGCCUCCCACACCGUCGGGACACCGCAUCCCAGUUGGAUGAGGGGGCUGGGGCUGUGGGACCCCCAUCCCAGAGCCACUGCUCCCCCCAAACGGGCAGGGGUGCAAGUAAGCAUCUGCCACCGGGCUGCCGUGGGGCUGCGCUUAACCUGGGGGGGGUGGAGGGGUCUUUGGGGUGUGGGGCCAAGCCCCGACUGGCACCGGGCUGGCUUCGAAGCGGGCGCCAGGCACGGCAUGGGGGCAGCCGAAAUCGCUGGCAGAGCUGCCCUCUUCCCAUGUAUUUAGGGUCAGGGGGGGUUUGGAUGGGCUGGGCGGGUGACCUGCAGCCAGCUCGCUGGCCCGUCGUCCCCAGUCCCAGGGUAAAGGUGGGGAUCUGGGGCAUUUUGAGAAGGUAUCAGCCACCCCUCCUUCACAGGGAUGUUGGAGGGGAGGGCACCGGCUGGGACGGUGGCGGUGGCCGGUGGGACAGGAGGGAGGGCUGGGGGCAAAGGAGGGACCUGAUAUGGCCCUGGUCUCGGUGCACAGCUUGGGGGUCUCCUUGCAGAGCAGUUUCGGGGUCUCGGUCACACGUGCCAGCCCCGACUAUGUUCCAGCGGCACUGCAGGAAAGCCGUCCUUCCUUCCCUUCUCUCUCUCUGCUCCUGCAGCCGCCAGCCCUGGGUUGGGUGCCACGUCCCGCGGGACCCCUGCCCGGGGGCAGCUGACCCCCGAGCUGAGAAACAGCAGCUCCAGCAAAGAGCCUUGUUUGUAAAGAUGAAGCCUGUUUGUGCGUCCGUGCCGGUGUCUCGGCUUGCAUGCCCUGCUGCCUUGUCUUGAGAUGAAUUCAAGAGCAAACCAAGCAAAUGAAACGGUUUCAAAACAAAACAAAACCCAGGAACUUUGUGACAGUGGAAAUAAAAGCUUAAUGACAGUACCGAAGCACCCGUGGUCUGUGAUGUGCUGCGGGGUGAGCCGG